Homo sapiens (human) is the source of this 1870-nucleotide long non-coding RNA. Ensembl annotates it as ITGB2 antisense RNA 1. Its record names the gene ITGB2-AS1. NCBI's taxonomy places the organism in Eukaryota, Metazoa, Chordata, Mammalia, Primates, Hominidae. The record is from Ensembl.
AGUGACUUCCUUCUGCAGUGUUGAUUCAGCUCCCUUUGAAGGCGGAUCCAUACAAACAGGCUGACCAUCAGGGCUGGUCCCAGGCCACCAGGCUGGGUGCAAUGCAGAAAUGGAGAUCUGCCCCGGGGAAGGCAGGUGAGUGUAGGAAGGAGGGAGGGCUGCGAGAAGCUGGGGGCAGCCUCCAUCCCCCUGUGGCCUGGGUGGGCCUGUGCCCCCCCAACCCCCCGACGCAGCUUCCCACACUGGGAGCACAGUUCCUCCCUCCUCUGCCUUCCUCUGCGUGGUGUGGCUCCUCCUUGAGGGAGAGAGCUGAGGAGGUGGCAUUCUUGCUUCCCUGACUCACCCAAAGGAAGAUUUCACAGCCCCUGGCAAGGGCUGCCAGACAGGCUCACCUGUCACCCCCUGUCCAGGGACAGACUGACCGGUAGCCUUGGCUGGGUGGGGAGUUAUGCUGGGAAGUCUUCCAGGCCCCCUGGGGGUGGGAAGAUGCUCAAUGUUCAAAGGAGAUGGAACGAGGAAAACAGUUAAGCAACGAUGGACUCCAGGGGGAAAACCGGAGAAGAAGAAACUGUAAUUCCAGUCCGUCCACAUGGCCCAGCAGUGAACGACAAUUGCAUGGUCAGAGAGAGCAAAAGCACCACGCCGACUGAAAGCAGCUCGAAUGUGGUGGGGCAGUGGGAGAUAAUGCCCUCAUCUACCAAAACAAGAUCUGCCACCUUCGCAGACCACUAAACCUCAUUCCUCCACCCACCUCCCCACCCCCAUGAAGGCCAACUGACCAGAGAGCAGGGCUCCCGAGGGUCGGGUCGGGUCGGGUCGGGUUGGGUCGGGUGGGUGCCUCUUACCCUAACUGAGGCUCUGCCCUGGACUCGGAGUCCACUUGCUGUCAAAGCAUGCCACUCUUCUUUCUGAUACUUGACAUAUUUCUUUUCCCGUUCAAUUCAUGGUUUCUGCCCAAACGGAGCCACGUGAGGACUUCUUUGGGGAUGUGUCUCCAAGAAAAGUGUGGGCUGCCUUCCUCACCCUGGAUGCCUGUGGGCAGCCUUCCUCACCCUGGAUGCCUGUGGGCAGCCUUCCUCACCCUGGAUGCCUGUGGGCUGCCUUCCUCACCCUGGAUGCCUGUGGGCAGCCUUCCUCACCCUGGAUGCCUGUGGGCUGCCUUCCUCACCCUGGAUGCCUGUGGGCAGCCUUCCUCACCCUGGAUGCCUGUGGGCAGCCUUCCUCACCCUGGAUGCCUGUGACUUGGUUUCCAUGGGGGCUUCCUAAGCUCAGGGACCCCAAGCCUCCAUCAAAUCUAAUGACCCGCCUUGUCUCUGAACACACCUGUGUUGUCCCCGAGCCCCUCACCAACCCCCUCUGCAACCCGGCCCACGCAUUUCCCAUCCUGAAGGGUCCAGCUCAUAGGCCGGCCCAUGUGUUCCCUUUACCCCUGCUUUGUCCCUACCUGGUGGGGAGCUGUCCCUUCUGGGCCCUAGUGUGGCACUUCACACACAAAUGUGUCCUGUGGGUGGUAUCUGGGCCUCCCCCUGCAGUGAGGGGAUGACCAAUGUGCAGAGCUCACUGGGCCUGGAUAUGGGCUCGGGUGGCACAGAACAGAGAGAAAGUGCUCCGUAAAAGUGAGCUGCGAUGCGGAGGUGGGCAAGCUCUUCCCUGGAGGGGGAAGAGCUCUCAACCCAGAGGGAUCUGACCAGGAAGGUUCACCCCCCCUCCACCCAGGAAGCCCCUGCAGACAGUAUGUGUUUUAGGCUUUGCUGGCCAAAUGGUCUCUGCCGCGACUACUCAGCUCUGCCAUUGUGGCUGCAGAGUGACCAUAGACCUUCUGAAAGUGAAUGAGUAUGACUGUGUUCCAAUAAAACUUUAUUGACAAAAA